GGGGGGGGGGGGGGGGGGGGGGGGGGUCAAGCAGAGAAGAAGAAUUGAAGGAACGAAUGGGUUAUCAAAUCUUGAUUUGCUUCUCUUGAGUGCUGAAAUUGUAUUGUGCACGCUGAAAGGGCUGAACUAUUCAUGAUUAAUAGUUUCAUAAAUGUGGAUUGUGUUUAGGCAUUAGCAAGGUUGGAGAUUCUAAUGUGUUCAAAAAGUGAACAUGGGACUUGGCUUACUGGGUCAUGUAACAGGUGAGUACCCUUGACACAACUUAUAUCUUUAUAAAUUGCAAUAUUUUUAUGCACUCUAGAAUGUACAAUGUUUUUUGCUAGCAAUGGUAGCAUGCCAAUCAGCCAAUGAGGUUGAUUUAUAUAUGGUUUUGGGUAAUUACUUGGUUUGGUGGUUACGUGACAUGGAAGUGUUGCCAUGGAAAUCUUCAAAGUAUAGCAUGGAAGUGAUGCUAUAUUUUCUUGAACUGACAGUGGUUUCCUUAAUAGACAAUGCGGCUUCUUCCACUUUCAGUGGGACCAGCUUUACUUGAGGAAAUCCCAUAUUUUGGACAUCAAUUACUCUUAACAAGCUCUUUCAAAAGUGGUAUGACUAUAGCUCACCCCAACAUCGUUUAUUGUUUUGGCAGGUGUUAUGAGAUGAGAAGUUGAAAGAAGCGGUCCACUGUGUACAUAGAACAACUACGCUGUACAAUGUUCGUUAUCCGGCAAUGUAUGCCUCAGAGUUUGUAAGAAAGGAUGCGAAGCUCUUCAACUGCAGCCAAGUUCAACAAGAGACCAACUGGACAAAAGGCAAAAUUUCAAUCACCUAUGAGGCAAAGCUGACUACCAUCUUGAGGAUUCCCCCCUUAGCUUGGUGGAUUAAACCUAUAGCUUGGCUUCAAUCUUUCUCCUUUACAGUUGAGCACUACAUACGUUCAGUCUUUGACUACUUUGGUCUAUUAUUUGGUUAGAGAUAUGGCAAAAAAAGGAGUGUAUGCGGGAAAGUAUUUUCUGCAAAAUUCACAAUGGGCACUGAUUUAUUGUUUACAUAUUGUGGAAUUUAUGAAGAAUGGGUACCAAACGGGGAGUAGAAAAUGAAACUUUUUCUAGACAAUUUGCUUAGGAUUUGCUUGAGGCUGUUGGCAUGAGGCGUGAGGCUGUUGGCACAGGCUGCAGACAGCUACUUAUGAUCAAACUUAUGCAUAC
Long non-coding RNA from Rhododendron vialii, 1187 nucleotides. RefSeq lists it as uncharacterized. Lineage: Eukaryota; Viridiplantae; Streptophyta; Magnoliopsida; Ericales; Ericaceae. The transcript is spliced from 4 exons. The record is from RefSeq and is a predicted model, not a curated record.